This is a long non-coding RNA of Peromyscus californicus insignis, 7703 nucleotides long. RefSeq lists it as uncharacterized. The transcript is spliced from 3 exons. Lineage: Eukaryota; Metazoa; Chordata; Mammalia; Rodentia; Cricetidae. The record is from RefSeq and is a predicted model, not a curated record.
UAGCUGGCUCCGGCUCUUUCCCCCUGGCUCACGCUUCACCAGCGUCAGUGCCCUCACUCACUGGCUUUCCGGACUUUUGAAAUCUUUGUUCCUCUCGUUGUUUCUGCUUAGUCUGCUCGUCAUUCGUCCGCCAAAGUUCAGCAAGGACCGUGUAGUAAUCAGCAGCCUUGCCAGCCCCACGGCUUGGAGUGCGCCUCAGUUACAACAGUCCGCGAGAGGUAUUGCAACCAUCCCCAAGUGCACAGAUCAUAGAACAAUAUGAAAUGCUCCUUUUUACCACUCUAAAGGCAGUGGGACCUGGAAGUGGAGCCUAAAAACGAGGUGGACAAAUGUCUCACGCAAUAGCCAACUUUAUUCAGAGCACAGACAAUUUAUACUCUGAGGGUUAAGAAGAGUCACACAAGUAAGGGGUUCAAACAAGGACAAGUCACAUGUGUUUUCCUAUAGAGGCACGUGAAUUAACAGCAGCUGAAGUAAACUCAGCCCUAACUGCUACACCUGAAGGAGCAUGAAAACACAUUCCAAAAACAACUCUGUGUUUUGAAGAAACUGAGAUCACAAGAUUCUUGUCUUAUUUUCUUGGGGUUUUCUCACAAGUAUUCAGAAUUUUCACAGGACUCCAUUCUUGGACUCGGUUCCCACACUCCCCAAUUUAAGGAAUCUAAUAUAGCUUUAAAUACUAGCACUUAAUUAAUAUAGUAGAGUCAUGGGCAUGCAUCUCAGUCUCACUCACAACAGAUUCUAAAUAUCAGUACAUGGACUCUAAUGGUGUCCCAAAAGAAUAACAUACUUUGACCUAAGAGUUAUUUGCAGACUUUCUGAGUAUUCUAAUCAAAAUGUUUCAUUAAUUUACAAUAGAAUGUUAUCUUUAAAACACUGAAAUUUCCCAGCAGAAAAGAUAAAAUCUCCUACCUACUCAAUCACUGUUUUUCAACAAUAUUUUAUAUUUGCCUUAAAUCUCUAUACCUUUUGUUCAGUAUAUUCAUAGGUAUUUUAUAUUGCCACCUUUAGAUGGAUUCCUUUUUAGUUAAAAGGUUACAUUUAUUUAUUUGUGUGUGUGUGUGUGUGUGUGUGUGUGUGUGUGUGUGUGUGUGUGUAUGUGUGUGUGUGUGUGUGCUUGCAUACGCAUGUGCAAACACCCCCCAGCCCAUGUGUGGCUGUCAGAGGACAGUUUGCAGGAGUCAGUUCCACCACAGAGUUUGGAUUGAACUCAGAUCAUCAGGAUUGGCUGCAAGAGUCUUUACCAGCUGAGUCAUCUCGCUGACCUGGAUAGGUUCCAUUUUCUCACACUUUGUUACUGGUUUAUAACAAAUUUUAACUAUUAACCUAUGCAACCAUUUUGCUGAACCUUCUAAUAGUUUACCACUAUCAUCUUUUUAGAAAGAAAAUCAUGUCAUCUGAAAAUGGUAUUUUCAUUCUUUCUUUCCUAAUGAUUUUUUUUUCUUGGGCCGCCCUAGAGCUGAAGUUACAGACAGUAGUGAGCUGCUGUGUGGGUCCUGAGAACCGAACCUUGGUCCUCAAAAAGAGGAUCCCAUGCUCUUUUUGUUUUGUUUUGGAUUUAAUUAUUUAUUUAUUAUAUAUACAGAAGAGGGUGCCAGAUCUCAUUACAGAUGGUUGUGAGCCACCAUGUGGUUGCUGGGAAUUGAACUCAGGACCUCUGGAAGAGCAGUCGGUGCUCUUAACCUCUGAGUCAUCUCUCCAGCCCUUUCCUAAUGAUUUUGCCUUUCUUUUUUGGACUCUGGAUAGAAAAUCCACUACCAUGUUGAAUAUUAGCAGUAAAAAUAGGUAUUCACAUUCUCUCGUGACAAUAAUUGUCUUUUAAGUCAUGUGUACAAUAGGUUUCUGCUAAAAAGCUUUCAUCAAAUUGUUAUCUAUUCUCAUUUUGCUAAGAAGAUACUGGAUUUUAAAAUGUUAGCCAUUAAGAUAAUUGUAUAGUACUAAAUCUCUAAAUUAUUAACACAAUAACUCGCAGUGAUAGGUUUUCUAAUUAUUUCUGGGGAAACCAAUGCUUUAUCUAUCUACAUCAGUGGUUCUCAACCUUCCUAAUGUUGUGACCCUUUAAUGCAGUUCCUCAUGUUGUGGUGACACCCAACCAUAAAAUUAUUUUCAUUGCUACUUCAUGACUGUAAUUUUGCUACUGUUACAAAUUGUAAUGUAAAUAUCUGAUAUACAGGAAUAUGUGACCCCUGUGAAAGACACCCCCAAAAGGGUCACGACCCAUAAGUUGAGAACCACUUAUCUAGAUAGACUGCAAGGUAGGUUUGCUGAUCGGUCUAGAGCUUUGUCUCUAGGUGAGUUUAGUUCCAAGUUUUCUCUUGAGCUAUCUUUGCCAGGUUUAGUAAUUAAAACACUAACUGCACUGGCUGGUUUUGUGUGCCAACUUGACACAAGCUAGAGUCAACAGAGAGUAAGGAGUCUCAAUUGAGGAAAUGCCUCCUGAGAUCCAGCUGUAAGGCAUUUUCUCAAUUAGUGAUUGAUGGGGGAGAGCCCAGCCCAUGGUGGGUGGUGUCAUCACUGGGCUGCUGGUCCUGGUUCUAUAAGAAAGCAGGCUGAGCAAGCUAUGAGAAGUAAGCCAGUAAAUAGCACCUCUCUUUGGCCUCUGCAUCAGCUCCUGCCUCUAAGAUCCUGCCCUGUUUGAGUUCCUGUCCUGACAUCCUUCAGUGAUGAACAGCAAUGCUGAAGUGUAAGCCAAAUAAACCCUUUCCUCCCCAACUUGCUUUUUGAUCCUGGUGUUUCGUUGCAGCAAUAGAAACCCCAACUAAGACACUAAGGCUAGUAAAUGAUGAGUAUUUUCUUAUGCUAAAAUACAGCAUCCAUGACAGCAAAUCAGGCAGGUAAAUGUGUGCAACUUGAUGGCAGUGUUCCAGGCAGAGGAGCCAGGGUGCCUAUUCCAGGGUGAGAAAAGCACAGGCCAUGCCUAGAGUGGGGUCUCACUGCAUCUCCCUGGCUCUCUGUCUUUCUUACUCCUCCUCCUUCUCACUGUGUAGUUCUGGUCAGCCUGGAACUCUUUACUGAGACAAGUCUAGCCUUCAAUUCACAGAGAUCUGCCUCUGUCUCCUGCAGGGCUGGUAUUAAAGGAGUGUGCUACCAUGCCCAGAAAGUUACAUCUUCUUAAAUGAGUAAGAAAAAUUAAAUGGGUUUGGCUCAAACUGGUAACAAAUUAACAUUUUUGCUUUUGAUUUUGUAUAUAAAAUCCAACACCUUGGACUGUAUGUAAGAUCCUUUCUUUUUUAAACCUGCUUUCAUGGACCAAUUCUUGUUUCCUUAUCUUGUUCCUUUUGCUUCAAAAUCUGGCUCCAAAGAAACUGUUUGAAUUCAUUCCUACAGCCAGCUUUUGGUUUGCAUAUUCUGGAGAACUCUGACAGCGUACUGGGGUGGCUAGUGCCGCCCCUGAAGUUUAUGUCUUUCCUGUAACCUCACAAUGUGAACUUACUUGGAAAUAAGGCCACACUGCACAUGUGUUAUACUGGAACCAGAUGGGCUUUUUAAUCCAAUAGCAUUGAUGUUUUUCUAAGACACAGAAACAAGCAGAAAUAGGGAGAAGGCCGUUUGAGAACAACAGAACGGGGUGAGGCUCCUCCAAGACAUAGCUCACACAUGAUUCUAGCAAUCACCGGAAACUAAGGCAAAGAAAUCUGUUCAAAACGACAGAGGAAGCCUGAUGCAAAUGUCAAACAAGUCUGUGGCUUAAGCUCUCAGCAUUUGAGGCCUUCUUGGGGCUGCCUGCCCCCCCCGCGCCCCCCCCCCCCCACGAACCGAAUCCAAAAGGGAUUUUACUUAUUUUCUUAGACUCAAAAUUACCACGUCCCCGACCAAGGAAGGCCAGGACGCUCUCUGUCCCUUCCUCUGCGAAGAUGCAUGAGCUUGCAGCCCGGGGGAGAAAAAGGCUACCGAGUAAAGGCUUCAUGGAGGUGCAGAGCAGACAGUGCUCUAUAAGCAGGGUGGCAAGACUGAACAACACUAAGAAGCUUAACAGCCAGGGCUGGGUGGCGCAAGGCCGCAAGGAGCGUCGCCGGGGCGGGGCUGCAUGCUGCAGUUCCCGAGGUGGCUCCUGCGGGGGAAGCUGAGAAUAGCACACUCAAGCCGUGGAGCAUCCCUCCACACCCACCCAGGAACCGAAAGCCUGUCCCUAAGUCUCCGGGGCCCUGUCGCCAAGCAGCAAGCCAGUGAUUGGUGCCGCGCUGCUGCGUGAGGCGGGACUUCCUCCCCACGCCCGAGACCGGAAGGGGACUAAUUUUCCACCGGAAGGAGAGAGAAGUUGAGACCAGGAGCCAGACACCUGAUGCUGGCAGCUCUUGUCGCGUGAAGUUGGGCCAUCAUCUGGCCUUCUGUUGCGGCGGCGGCGGCGGCGGCGGCGACGCUGUCCCGGUAGGCUGGCUGGCGUGGCAGGCGUCAGAGGAAUGGGAGUAGAAGAGAUGGGUAAGCUACCCAGGCGUCGAUCCUGCUUCUCUGUGCUUUAUUUUCUCCAUUUCUUUUUAAAAGCGGAUUGAAAGCCCACGGAGCUGCGGUAGUGGGUAAAUGUGCAAGAAGACAUACGCACUCACACAGACUAAAGUUUAAGCACACACACAUGCAUAGUACGUACAUACAUGCAUACACACGUACGUAUUCACAUUCACAGGGCUGAUGAGUAUCGGCUCUACAGAUCCAGGCAUUCCGAGUCGAUGACUCUUGUUUGAGGAAUCACCUGUAGCAGUCAUUUUAAGCGCCCACGCACGCGCACACUCACGGAGUUGGUGAUUUUUUAAGCUUCUUGAAUAUGUCAGCAACGUCAUUUGGUAUUAGAAAUGGAACGAAGACAUCUUGAUAAUACAUCUUAUUUCAGCUUCAACUGAAGAGCAGCAAGGAGACCGGUCGGUGGGAAGGCGCACGGUUUGUUAAGGAUGGAGUCAUGACUAAAAUCUCAUUUCCAGCUCAGAAUCCUUGUACACAGUAGUCUAUGCAAACUGCUUUUAAAUUGCUUUAAGAUGGUAUGGGUGUAUGGGUAGGAGGUUGGAGACUUAAGGGAGUGAAGAGGGUGGUGAGGGACAUUUAGAUACCAGUUUAAUAGCUCGGUAGGUAAGAGCAUUUGUGGCUCUUACAGAGGAUCGGAAUUUGGUUCCUAGCACCCAUAUAAUAUUGCUCACAAUGACGUUUUGUUGUAUAGGCAAAUGUAUAUGUUGAAUUGUGACAUGGGCAGAAGUAGCACCUGAAAUGCAGUAAUAUGCACAGUAUUAGAAGCUGUAUAAUUCUAGACACAAGGAUACAAAUGGGCUUACAUUUUGUAUUUUCUUUAACAAUCCUGUUGCCUGUCAUUCCUGCUAGGGAUCGAUACCAGGGCCUCAAACAUGUGUGCAAGCCGAAGCCCCAGCCUUCACUGCUGUUAUUGUCUUAAGUAAAUGACUCAGACCUAUUUCUAGAGACUUACCAGUUCAUUGGCUUGGGACGUGGACCAGCGACAAGUCAUUUCCAUUUCUGCUCCUUCUGUUGGCCCGUUAGCUGUGUCUUACCUUCUGCUGGUGACCAGCUGUGUUCCGUUCCGUUUCCACCUCCCUUCUCUCUUUAGCAUGCUCAUGAAUGUUUAAUUGGUAAGUAUACAAAAACACGCCUGUUGUUGACUGUAGUUAUGUAAGUAGGUAAGUGUUGUUUAAAAUUUCUUACAUUGGGCUGGGGAUGUAGCUCUGGCAAGGUGGGUACCUUGUGUGAGCAAGACCCUGGGUUUGAUCCCCAGCAUAUAAGGUGGAAGGAGGGGAGAACCCAUAAACUCUUAUGUAGAAAUCUUUGUCAGUUAAAUGUUAUUUUUGAGAAAUUGGCUUAGGGUACUUUGAAGAGCUGGGAAAAUACAUUUCUGGCCUAAAAUAAUGGACUUCAGGAUCCCACUAUGAAAAUUCUGACCAUUCACUGCCUUGUUAGAAAAGAAUGAGGAGCUGGAGAGAUGGUUCAGUGGUUAAGAGCACUGGCUGCUCUUCCUGAGGACCCAGGUUCAAUUCCCAGCACCCACAUGGCAGUUUACACCUGUCCGUAACUACAGUUCAGGGAAUCUGACACUUCACACCAAUGCACAUAAAGUAAUUAAAAAAAAAAGGAUGAGAUUUCAGUAAUGAUGAAAUGAUGAGUGCUUCUGUUGGAUUUCUCCUCUCAGAAUAUUUAAAUCUGAGCAAAGUUGUUUAGAGAAAAGGACUGUUGCUAAGUACUGAGUUACUUGUUGCUUUCUGUCACUUUGUGAGGGGGUCUAUAAGAUGAUUUUUAAAGACACUUCACAUUGAAAAAGGAAUCCAGUAAAUAGCUGUGGUCUUUACGAGUUUGCCAUUACCUUUACAGGGUAUAAUUUCCUCUACAAAAACCUUAGAUUAUAAACUGUGGGAGUGGCCUCUGCAAACACCAUGGCCAGCAGUGUCAAUCCAUGUGAGGCAAGAAGGCAGUUUGGUUCAGCAUGACUCAGUAGCUGGCGUUGGCUCAAACUUCUAGAGUGUGACCCUAAAGUGGUUUAUUUUAGGCAUAUUUAAGAUAGUACAAUUUGGAGCCGGGCGGUGGUGGCGCAUGCCUUUAAUCCCAGCACUCGGGAGGCAGAGGCAGACGGAUCUCUGUGAGUUCAAGGCCAGCUUGGUCUACAGAGCGAGAUCCAGGACAGGCACCAAAACUACACAGAGAAACCCUGUCCUGAAAAAAAAAAAAAAAACAAAAAAAAAAACCCAAGAUAGUACAAUUUGGAAAAAAAGUUUCCUUGUGUAACACUAUCAAUCCCGUGUGCACAAUAAGGUAUAAUUACAUUGAAACUCUUUUCAAAGUACAUGUCACCUCUUCUAUAGAGAUAAAUUCUGUAGAUAGAUUACAUGUGUUAAAGGGCUUUGGGAAGGAUCUGGUGUGGUUUCAGUCAUAUAGAUAGUGCAAAGGUCACUAGGCUAUUAGCCACCUCCAGUCCUGUUUAUAAGGGUUGGGGGGGCAGGUGUAGCCUGGCCCUGCAGAUAUCAGAACUAUACCAAGUAUUAAAUGUGAGUGCCAGAGUUUUCUUGUAGUAAUGGGGGGCCAUUCUGUAUCACACUCACUACCACCCUUGGUUCUUCUGCACUCGCUCGGCACAAAUUAGAAGUCACCACAGUUACUAAUGGGACUGUCAGGCCCCUAGGUGUAUUUCAACAGAAGAGAAGUACUGUCCAUGUUUUUAACCUCAUCCCACAGCCCCCAAGAGCAUACACUUGACAGUGCUUUGAUUUCUAAUGAAAAAGCUUUUCCUUUGAUUUGUAAGCUAAUUUGAUGUCUUGUGUUUCUCUACAGGUAUGAGUUCCCUGAAAGCAGGGAGUUGUUUCCAUGCUCUGAGUAUUCAGAGAUUAUGCAGCCAUAACCAUGCCUUUGAUAUGCAUAAUUCAAGGGGAGCAGACACAGGCCAGUGGUUGUAAUAUCGCUACUUGAGUAUUCUGUCAACGGUUUAUCAGCAGGUUGCAGCUGAGCAUGACCGUGAGGUAAACACUGCCCCUGGUUGAAAUUUAGUUUCAUCAGCUUCUGCAUGGGAUUGUAAGGACAUGGAAUAUAUCACAAAAUCCAGCAGGUUUCCCCCUGUUUUUUAGAUUUAUCCUUUCUUCUUGAAGAAGAUAACAUGCUUAAACAAAGGUUCCUUAUGGUUCAUAACUGUGAUUCUUAAAGUUGGUCAACCCCUAGUUUAGGUAAAUUUUAAAUGUCAAAGAUCUAGAUAUCUUGUUAAAUUAAAAAAAGUAUUAAAAUCUUAA